GUGCUGGGGUUGUCGCUGAACUUUGAAGGGUCGUGCACGCCUCGGUGCUUUCACACACAAUCCAUCUCACCCCUUUUGUGCAUCACCGCGUGGGGGUCCCUUUUAGCUAGUUCUGAAGGGGGCUUUCGCGUUUUUACAAACACACCCUUUUAAUGCAAUAUGUAGAAUGUCUUACUUUUUGCGAUCACACGCAAUCAAUACAACUUUCAACAACGGAUCUCUUGGCUCUCGCAUCGAUGAAGAACGCAGCGAAAUGCGAUACGUAAUGUGAAUUGCAGAAUUCAGUGAAUCAUCGAAUCUUUGAACGCACCUUGCGCCCUUUGGCAUUCCGAAGGGCACACCCGUUUGAGUGUCGUGACAUCCUCAAACCUUCUUGGUUUCUUGACUGAGAAGGCUUUGGACUUUGGAGGCUUUUGCUGGACCUUUGCUUGUUGAAGCCAGCUCCUCUUAAAUGAAUUAGUGGGGUCUGCUUUGCUGGUCCUUGACGUGAUAAGAUGCUUCUACGUCUUGGGUUACGCACUGUUUGCUAUAGAUCCUGCUUCUAACCGUCUCAUAGAAGACAAACGGUCGACUUGACCCACAAACCUUGACCUCAAAUCGGGUGAGACUACCCGCUGAACUUAAGCAUAC
RNAcentral lists this ribosomal RNA (630 nucleotides) under uncultured Russula. RNAcentral describes it as "eukaryotic LSU rRNA". The stretch from base 202 to 355 matches the Rfam family "5.8S ribosomal RNA". The record is from RNAcentral. Lineage: Eukaryota; Fungi; Basidiomycota; Agaricomycetes; Russulales; Russulaceae.